Molecule: long non-coding RNA, 600 nt
Organism: Tupaia belangeri chinensis (Chinese tree shrew)
Lineage: Eukaryota; Metazoa; Chordata; Mammalia; Scandentia; Tupaiidae
Exons: 4
Source: RefSeq, a predicted model, not a curated record
CAGAGAGCUGGAUUAAUUCUUCUCAGUGGAAGCAGUUUGGGUGUAACUCAACAUUUCCCUUAAAAGUCUCUUUGCUUUGACAGAGAGGCAAAGAGAAAGAGAAACAAAAGUACUUGGAUAUCAGAGAAGGGCCACAGAGAACAAAGCUGCAAUAGGAAAGAUCAAACUCUUUCAGUCUCACCUCCGCAUAUCCAGCAUCUGGUACAUGGCAGGCUCUUCCCCUUCAGAGGCAAAACAGACUAAGAGAUGAUCCAGAUUCACAUCCUCAGUACAAAGCCAGUGCAUCUUCACCAGUAAUUCCAGGAAAAAAAAAAUAAAAUAAAAAACAAGAUUGAGUCUCACUGGCCCAGGUUGGAUAACAUGUUUAUUUCUGUACCCUCACUGCAGCCAGCUAUAUGGAGUGCCCACUUCUGAAGACGUGAGACGGGUGCCAUGUCCUUGUAAACUACUGAAAUCAAUGCAUAUCACACUAACAACACAGAGGCCUUCAUCUCACACACUCCCGAAGUAGACGGGACUUCUCUACGUCUUCAGAUCAGAUCCACGAAUAUUUGAAGAAAACUUUGCAAAACCUUCCAACUUGAGACAACAGCAGCAGAC